AUUAGUCAAUGCUCGAAAGAGUGAACUAGCUAACUGAAAUCUUUGAUGUGUCAUCAAAGAUAAGGUAAAGGAAAAUAAUGAUAUUACUUUACUAAUAGUGUCGUCCAAAUACUCGUGCCAGAAGACUCGGUAAGGCGAGAGACGCAAACGUUAUUCGUCUUGAUCAGGCGUAAAGGGUUUGUAGGCUGCUUUAAAAAUUUAAUAAUAAGUUUACUAUUAUAAAUUCAUAAAAAAAAGGGUUUAUAACUUUCCUAAGUUUAUUUUUAAAUAAAUAUGGAAUAUUGUUAUUUUACUUAAUGUUUUUAUAAUCUAUUUUUUAAAUCAAUUAAAGCUAGAAUCUAAUAGAGGUUAAAACAAUACUUAAGGUAGGAGUACUAACCGUAAAUAUUAAGCAGAGUUUUAAUGGCGAAGGCAUUUAACCACUAAAGAUUGACGCUGAGAAACGAAGGUGAGGGCAGAAAAAAGGAUUAGAGACCCUUGUAUUCCUCACUGUCAACGAUGAAUGGUAGUUACUAGUUAGAAAUAAACUAGAAGCGAUGUUAACACGAAAACCAUUCCGCCUUGUGAGUACAACUGCAAAGUUGAAAACAAAAAAAUUAGUCGGUUUCGGAGCAAACGAAGUGAAGCAUGUUAUUU
This 636-nucleotide ribosomal RNA is filed under the name Hydnoporia corrugata. Its description in RNAcentral is "partial small subunit ribosomal RNA". It matches the Rfam family "Bacterial small subunit ribosomal RNA", at positions 363 to 947 of the family's 1533-position model. Lineage: Eukaryota; Fungi; Basidiomycota; Agaricomycetes; Hymenochaetales; Hymenochaetaceae. The record is from RNAcentral.